GGCCCCGUAGCUUAACUGAAUAGAGCAUCUGACUUCGGAUCAGAAGGUUGUGGGUUUGAAUCCCGCCGGGGUCA
Molecule: transfer RNA, 74 nt
Filed under: Bacteroidia bacterium
Lineage: Bacteria; Pseudomonadati; Bacteroidota; Bacteroidia
Description: tRNA-Arg
Rfam family: tRNA
About the family: Transfer RNA (tRNA) molecules are approximately 80 nucleotides in length. Their secondary structure includes four short double-helical elements and three loops (D, anti-codon, and T loops).
Source: RNAcentral